Molecule: ribosomal RNA, 293 nt
Filed under: uncultured bacterium
Lineage: Bacteria
Description: partial 16S ribosomal RNA
Rfam family: Bacterial small subunit ribosomal RNA
Source: RNAcentral
GUGUCAGCAGCCGCGGUAAGACGUAGGGUCCAAGCGUUGUCCGGAUUUACUGGGCGUAAAGAGCGCGUAGGCGGCUUGAUAAGUGUGGUGUGAAAUCUCCAGGGCUUAACCCGGAAACUGCACCGCAGACUGUCAGGCUUGAGGAAUGCAGAGGUAACUGGAAUUCCUGGUGUAGCGGUGAAAUGCGUUGAUAUCAGGAGGAACACCCAUGGCGAAGGCAGGUUACUGGGCAUUAUCUGACGCUGAGGCGCGAAAGCGUGGGUAGCAAACAGGAUUAGAUACCCGCGUAGUCC